RNAcentral lists this ribosomal RNA (484 nucleotides) under uncultured bacterium. RNAcentral describes it as "partial 16S ribosomal RNA". It matches the Rfam family "Bacterial small subunit ribosomal RNA", at positions 30 to 507 of the family's 1533-position model. The record is from RNAcentral.
AUUGAACGCUGGCGGCAGGCCUAACACAUGCAAGUCGAGCGGAUGAAGGGAGCUUGCUCCUGGAUUCAGCGGCGGACGGGUGAGUAAUGCCUAGGAAUCUGCCUGGUAGUGGGGGAUAACGUCCGGAAACGGGCGCUAAUACCGCAUACGUCCUGAGGGAGAAAGUGGGGGAUCUUCGGACCUCACGCUAUCAGAUGAGCCUAGGUCGGAUUAGCUAGUUGGUGGGGUAAAGGCCUACCAAGGCGACGAUCCGUAACUGGUCUGAGAGGAUGAUCAGUCACACUGGAACUGAGACACGGUCCAGACUCCUACGGGAGGCAACAGUGGGGAAUAUUGGACAAUGGGCGAAAGCCUGAUCCAGCCAUGCCGCAUGUGUGAAGAAGGUCUUCGGAUUGUAAAGCACUUUAAGUUGGGAGGAAGGGCAGUAAGUUAAUACCUUGCUGUUUUGACGUUACCAACAGAAUAAGCACCGGCUAACUUCGUG